UACUGGGGUCAUACUGGGAGCCAUACUGGGAGCACUGGGGCCAUACUGGGAGCACUGGGGCCAUACUGGGGUCAUACUGGGAGCACUGGGAACCAUACUGGGGAUACUGGGAGCCAUACUGGGAGCACUGGGGCCAUACUGGGGCCGUACUGGGAGCACUGGGGCCGUACUGGGAGCACUGGUCCAUACUGGGUUGUCCCCCACACUCUCUCCCUUUCCCCAGCAUUCUGUACUGGGGGUACUGGUCCAUACUGGUCCAUACUGGCCCAUACUGGUCCAUACUGGUCCAUACUGGUCCAUACUGGUCCAUACUGGUCCGUACUGGUCCAUACUGGCCCAUACUGGCCCAUACUGGUCCAUACUGGCCCAUACUGGUCCGUACUGGUUCGUACUGGUCCAUACUGGUCCAUACUGGUCCAUACUGGCCCAUACUGGUCCAUACUGGUGCGUACUGGUUUAUACUGGUCUGUAUUGGUCAUACCGGUCAGUACUGGUCCAUACCAGUCUGUACUGGUUCAUACUGGUCUGUACUGGUCCCUGCUGGUCCAUGCUGGUCUAUACUGGUCUGUACUGGUCUAUACUAGUCCGUAUUGGUCCGUACCAGUCCAUGCUGGUCUAUACUGGUCCAUACUGGUCUGUACUGGUCCCUGCUGGUCCAUACUGGUCCAUACCGGUCUGUACUGGUCCAUACAGGUCCGUACUGGUCUGUACCAUUCCAUACUGGCCCGGUCUGUACCGGUCCAUACUGACCUAUAUGGGCCCAUACCGGUCCAUACUGGUCUGUGCUGGUCUGUACCAUUCCAUACCGGUCCAUACUGGUGUGUACCGGUCUGUACCAUUCCAUACUGGUCCGUACUGGUCUGUACCAGUCUGUACCAUUCCAUACUGGUCCGUACUGGUCCAUACUGGUCCGUACUGGUCUCUCCCCAGCGUUCUGUACUUUGGGGCCCAGCGGGGUCGGGAUUCCGUCCCAAGCACCGGGGAUGGACCCGGAGAGGGGUUCAGUGUGGAGCUGCAGUGGGAGCAGGUAUGGGAUCAAUAAGGGAUUUAUAGGGGAUUUAUAGGGGAUCUAUAGGGGAUCUGUAGGGGAUGGAGAGGGGUUCAGUGUGGAGCUGCACUGGGAACAGGUAUGGGAUCAAUAAGGGUUUUAUA
Molecule: long non-coding RNA, 1152 nt
Filed under: Zonotrichia albicollis (white-throated sparrow)
Lineage: Eukaryota; Metazoa; Chordata; Aves; Passeriformes; Passerellidae
Description: lncRNA (ENSZALG00000002067.1)
Source: RNAcentral